CCCUUAGAUGUCCUGGGCCGCACGCGCGCUACACUGAUGCAUUCAACGAGUUUUACCUUGGCCGAGAGGCCUGGGCAAUCUUUUAAACCUGCAUCGUGAUAGGGAUAGAUUAUUGCAAUUAUUAAUCUUGAACGAGGAAUUCCUAGUAAACGCAAAUCAUCAAUUUGCAUUGAUUACGUCCCUGCCCUUUGUACACACCGCCCGUCGCACCUGCCGAUUGAAUGGUCCGGUGAAGCCUCGGGAUUGUGGCCAGUUCACUUUAUUGGGAGUUGGCUGUGAGAACUUGUCUAAACCUUAUCAUUUAGAGGAAGGUGAAGUCGUAACA
This 325-nucleotide ribosomal RNA is filed under the name uncultured eukaryote. Its description in RNAcentral is "partial 18S ribosomal RNA". It matches the Rfam family "Eukaryotic small subunit ribosomal RNA", at positions 1470 to 1796 of the family's 1831-position model. The record is from RNAcentral.